CUGCCUUGCCUCCAAGAAAACUAUGGACUUCAAAGCACUCCCAAUUACACACUCACAGAAUUUAAAUAAUAAUCUCAUAUUUCUUUCUCUCUCUCCCCCUCAGUGCUGUACGUGACAGUAUUGCUACAGUGAAGUAUUUUGGUUUGACCACAGUGUGACAGACUAAAGUCCAUAGACAAGAGACGCAGUAUGUGCACUCAAUGAGCCUAAUGUUAAUGAACUGUCUGCCAGGGGCUGAUUAUUUCCUGGGAUUUUAUAACAUUUUUGCAACAGAAAUGCGCUGCAUAUUAAUAGCAGCAGCUCUGGUCCAAAUGGGUUUAGGAUGCAGCAGGACUUACACAUGA
This 344-nucleotide long non-coding RNA is filed under the name Salvator merianae (Argentine black and white tegu). Its description in RNAcentral is "lncRNA (ENSSMRG00000005932.1)". Lineage: Eukaryota; Metazoa; Chordata; Lepidosauria; Squamata; Teiidae. The record is from RNAcentral.